This is a long non-coding RNA of Cyprinus carpio (common carp), 3436 nucleotides long. RefSeq lists it as uncharacterized. The transcript has 3 exons. Lineage: Eukaryota; Metazoa; Chordata; Actinopteri; Cypriniformes; Cyprinidae. The record is from RefSeq and is a predicted model, not a curated record.
UUUUGAAUGGUAAUGUAUACGACAUCUGUCUGAAUUUUGUCCAUAUUUAAAUGUAUUAACCACUGUGUUGGCUAAUGCAAAAUAUUUAACUGUUUGAGAGAGUAUUUUACGAUGAAUUUGAUUAUAUUUUUGUCUGGCAAAUUAGUCCAAAAGAAUUCAGCUGCAUGUGUGUGUGCAUGAAUGAGGACUGAGACAUCACAAUACUGCUCUUUCCUCAUUGUGCCUUUUGAGUAUGAUAUUAUAAACCAUCCACAUGGUCUGACUCUUAGAUUUAGUUUUUUUAGGUGUGUGUUUGUGUGAGAGUGAGUGUGUAUUUGACCCUCACCUGUAUGAUAAAGUGCAGUUGGGGGCCCCCUGUUGGCUAUAACUGGUACCUGAGUUAUUGUAUUAUUUACACAGAUAUAAAUCAUGAGAAUACAGGUAGAUAGAGUCAAGAGAGCGGCAGUGUGUCUGCUUAACAGCAGUGUAGCUUCUUUUAGUGAAAUACGGCAAGCAAAAUGGGCCAAAAUGAAUCUUGAGGUGAAGAAUGUGAACCGGGACUGCAAGAUAUAUGGCUGCUUGUGUCCAGGAGAGGGAAGUCUAACACCAUUUCCACAUGACGGACAGGAUGCCGAUUUGCUAAGCAAACAAACUUUGAAUUUAAAAUAGUUCACAAAAAGAUUAUCAAGAGUGUUAUCCCAUGAAAUUAUUAUGAAGGCAGUCAGGAGUGAAUAGAAUGUGUGAGAGUAAAGUGCAUGUGAAAUUUUGUCUGUCGCUGAUUAGAGCCCAUCAAAGUGGGCCGUCAGAGGUCUCCUCCGCCGCAGUCUCCCUGUGUCCCCCUUUUCUCUCCUCUCCACUUUACAUCUCCCCGAAUCCUUUGCCUUCUGUCAUUUUUGUUCCUCCUUCUCUCUGUUUUCUCCCUUGUCUCCCUCUGUUGUGGCCACGGCACUAGCCAGGCGGUAUCGAAUGUAAGCCAUGCACAUCAUAUUUUCAUGUGUUCAUGCCUCUUUUUUAAUCCUCUGCCCUCCUUUUCUUGAUAUUCUCAGUCUCUCUCUCUCUCUCUCUCUCUCUCUCUCUCUCUCUCUCUCUCUCCCUGUGCUGCUCCCUCCCUCUCGCACUAUUCUUUCUCUAGUACCCUCCCUUCUGCUCCAAUCUUCAGUUCAGCUGGAGUGAGAGAGGGAAAGAAAGAAAAAGAAAGAAAGAGUGAGCAGAAUAAUAGUGAGCGACAAGGGGAAUUUCGGCACUUUUCAACUUUUUCUUCCACUGAAACAGAGAAAAGAUUACAGGCGGUAGUGGGCCUCUUGCGCUAACUGGUGUCAGCUGUUGCAGGAAAUGAAGGGAUCACGUCUAUCCCAAUCUCUCUCUCUCUCUCUGAGUCUGAGUUUUCAUGUGAUUCGUAUCCUGUUAAACACGGCAGAGAGAAUGAGCUGCUCAGACAGAGAGAUGAAUGGGACUCAGAUGAUGAGGGCUUGUGGAGGACCACAGCACCCGAGGCACGGUCAGUCGCUGUCGCCAGCUCGGUGAGUUCACUCCCCUUCUCUCAGUGCGUGUGUGUGAUUUAUACAAGAGCUGACGUGACCUGAUAGUAUCUGUAUGAUAGCAGCAACAGUGUUGCUUGGUUCUUUUUUGUCUUUUUUAUACUCUAAAACCUCAUUGCGGAUAUGCGAAUCUCUCUUCUGCAGCAGUUUAUACUGAUGAAUAGAAAGACGGGUGCUCGAUUCGUCUGAUGUGUGUGUGUGUGUGUGUGUGUGUGUGUGUGUGUGUGUGUGUGUGGCCGGUGUGAGGGGUCUGUGUGUGGCGCCACUUCUCCACGCAUGUCCUCGUCCGCCGUGCGCAUGUGUGUUUGCGCGUGAGAUCCGAUGUCUUUGUGUGCAGUCCAUGCUGAUGGGCGUGUGUGUAACUAUGUUGUGUUGCUUUAAAGUAUCCGAUCGCAGUAAAUGUCGAAGGGAUGUCGAAUUAGAGACGGUGGGGGAAAGAAGGAUGGGACAUCAGAAUGGCGAUCGCUCGGUUCUCCACGCCACACCGUGCCCCUCUCCUUCCCUGAGACCCUAACUUGUGACGUUCUGCUUCGAUGUCCACGGGUUGGGUUCUCGGGAGCUGUGAGAGGCACUCAGUCGUCCGCCCAUCCAGGAGGAACCAGAGGAGAGGACGGCGAGAGAGAUCGUUGAAGCAGAUUGAGUGGGGAAGAAAGGGCGAACAGGAAGAGAGACACGAGAUGGGGAUGAGUGAGGCGACGGUGGUGCAGUGUAGGCCUGUGGAUUCAAGAGUUUAAAGGAUGGAAGAUGAAGAAAGAGAGAGUGAGAGAUUUGGGUUUUUAGGUUGGGGUGACGCUGGGCCAUCGAGGGUUUGGCCCAAACAAAGUGUAUGUUUAGACUGUGAGUCAGGACACUGAAAUGGCUGUGUGUGUGCAUGUCUGUGCCACAGCAUCUGCUACGCCCUCGUUCCGCACCCAUAUUUGUGUGCAUUUUUUUUAAUCCAAAUUCUUCUUUCCUUACAGGAAGUCCUCAUAGGUGGACAUGUCCGGUGACUUCGGGUUCAUUUAUGCAUGCAUGUGUGCUUUAUCCACCAAUUUGAGAGCAGCACAAAGUACUAUUGAGAGCGUUACAUCGAUAGCUCGGUACAAUUGUGUUUGACCUCAUACAAACCUUCAUCGACAUUAAAAAUAAACGCAUGUUUUUGCGACCAUAGGCUAUAUUUUUCCUGAGUGUGUGUCUGGGGUCUGACAUGGUGAUUUGUUGAUAUAAAUAUAACGAACGAUUGCUUACAGCAACGUAUGUUUCAUUAGUGUGAUGCCCGCAGGAUGUAAAUGGCAUAAAAUAGACAGAUACCUUGAGUGUUGCUGCAGCAGAAGUGCAUUGUGUGUGUGUACGCAGCAGCAUGUGUGUUCCUACAGACAUCGUGAGUGAGAUAGCCAGCCGUCUCUGUGGUAGUGCUCCAAAUCUCGCUUAUCUCCCUCACUCUACAGUGCUGCUUGAUGUUCUCAGAGUCAAACAGAGGCUACGCCGUUUCCAACGGGAGCUAGAGUAAAUCCUAGUCUCAAACAAUCCUGCAGAGUAGAUUUUUAUCUGGAAGACUGACUCUGGUGGAGAUUAUGAUGUCCGUUUAUUUUGAAUCCACCUUAUAUUUGUGUAUGUUAACCAUGAAAUGAAGAAAAGCAACAUGAAGCUAUGGUUUCGGGCUUUAUGCUGUCUCUUACUCCGAUAGUAUUUGUCAGUCAGUGUAGAGCGAUGCAUAAUGAUGUGUUUGUUUUUUUUAAAGAUUGGUUGCCAAAUUAAGCUGCUAAAAAGGUCAUUUAAAGGGAGUUGCAAUCAGCAAAAUGAACAACCCAUUCCUUGACAUCAUUAAGUGGCUCAUUAAACUCAAUUUGAACUCUAACUGGAAUACUUUGCUUGUAUUGUUGCACCCCAAUUAAAGCUCCUCUCUGGUGCUUGAAAUACAGCUAAAGAGAAUACUUUGG